GAUGAACGCUGGCGGCGUGCCUAAUACAUGCAAGUCGAGCGAACAGACGAGGAGCUUGCUCCUCUGACGUUAGCGGCGGACGGGUGAGCAACACGUGGAUAACCUACCUAUAAGACUGGGAUAACUUCGGGAAACCGGAGCUAAUACCGGAUAAUAUAUUGAACCGCAUGGUUCAAUAGUGAAAGACGGUUUUGCUGUCACUUAUAGAUGGAUCCGCGCCGCAUUAGCUAGUUGGUAAGGUAACGGCUUACCAAGGCAACGAUGCGUAGCCGACCUGAGAGGGUGAUCGGCCACACUGGAACUGAGACACGGUCCAGACUCUUACGGGAGGCAGCAGUAGGGAAUCUUCCGCAAUGGGCGAAAGCCUGACGGAGCAACGCCGCGUGAGUGAUGAAGGUCUUCGGAUCGUAAAACUCUGUUAUUAGGGAAGAACAAAUGUGUAAGUAACUAUGCACGUCUUGACGGUACCUAAUCAGAAAGCCACGGCUAACUACGUG
Molecule: ribosomal RNA, 497 nt
Filed under: uncultured bacterium
Lineage: Bacteria
Description: partial 16S ribosomal RNA
Rfam family: Bacterial small subunit ribosomal RNA
Source: RNAcentral